GGUUGUGGCUUAGUGGUAGAGUGCUAGCCUAGCUCUUGUGAGGCCCUGAGUUCGAUCCUCAGAACCA
Molecule: transfer RNA, 67 nt
Filed under: Marmota monax (woodchuck)
Lineage: Eukaryota; Metazoa; Chordata; Mammalia; Rodentia; Sciuridae
Description: tRNA.Ala
Source: RNAcentral